Lates calcarifer (barramundi perch) is the source of this 446-nucleotide long non-coding RNA. RefSeq lists it as uncharacterized. The record is from RefSeq and is a predicted model, not a curated record. The transcript is spliced from 4 exons. Lineage: Eukaryota; Metazoa; Chordata; Actinopteri; Centropomidae.
CAGAGAGGACUGAUUGAAAACCUCUCCCUCAUCUAACAGACUGUUAAACCCUCCUCUUCUGCUCUGUGGUGAGAGUUCUCUCACAGUCAGAGUUGAAUCCACUGCAGAUUGUCUAUGGUUGUGGACUGACUGACUUGUUUUAAUGUUGGAGGACAGCUCUUCCAUUGACUGCCAGCACCGUCCCUGGGCUGUUUGUGAAUGAUGGACAAAGGUGUCUGAAAUGGUUAAAUCACAUUCAGCAGCUUGAAGAAGAAUUGUACAACAAGUUUGGACUUGUAAUGUUUUAUCUCCAGGUAUCUGGGAGGAACAUUAAAUGCAUGCAGAGCUACACAGGAAGUCUAACAGGAGGAUGACCAGGGACCAGUUCACCCUGUUGUUGGAGGUCAUGACCUUUCUGUGGAUGUUAACUCUUUCCAGAGGAGACACUGAGGUGUCCUGUGUUUUUC